GUGAACGCUGGCGGUAGGCCUAACACAUGCAAGUCGAACGGCAGCACAGUAAGAGCUUGCUCUUACGGGUGGCGAGUGGCGGACGGGUGAGGAAUACAUCGGAAUCUACUUUUUCGUGGGGGAUAACGUAGGGAAACUUACGCUAAUACCGCAUACGACCUACGGGUGAAAGCAGGGGAUCUUCGGACCUUGCGCGAUUGAAUGAGCCGAUGUCGGAUUAGCUAGUUGGCGGGGUAAAGGCCCACCAAGGCGACGAUCCGUAGCUGGUCUGAGAGGAUGAUCAGCCACACUGGAACUGAGACACGGUCCAGACUCCUACGGGAGGCAGCAGUGGGGAAUAUUGGACAAUGGGCGCAAGCCUGAUCCAGCCAUACCGCGUGGGUGAAGAAGGCAUUCGGGUUGUAAAGCCCUUUUGUUGGGAAAGAAAAGCAGCAGGUUAAUACCCCGCUGUUCUGACGGUACCCAAAGAAUAAGCACCGGCUAACUUCGUG
RNAcentral lists this ribosomal RNA (491 nucleotides) under uncultured bacterium. Its description in RNAcentral is "partial 16S ribosomal RNA". It matches the Rfam family "Bacterial small subunit ribosomal RNA", at positions 29 to 507 of the family's 1533-position model. The record is from RNAcentral.